GACGAACGCUGGCGGCGUGCUUAACACAUGCAAGUCGAACGGACAGGCCCUGCUCUUGUGGCGUGCUCGAGUGGCGAACGGGUGAGUAACACGUGAGUAACCUGCCCUUGACUUUGGGAUAACUUUAGGAAACUGGGGCUCAUACCGGAUAGGAUCUCCUGCUCCACGGUGGGGGUUGGAAAGUUUCGGCGGUUGGGGAUCGACGCGCGGCUUAUCAGCUUCUUUGUGGGGUAGUGGAUUACCAAGGCUUUGACGGGUAGCCGGCCUUGGAGGGUGACCGGCCACAAUGGGACUGAGGGACGGCGCAGACUCCUACGGGAGGCAGCAGGGGGGAAUAUGGCGGAAUGGGCGGAAGCCAGAUGCAGCAACGCCGCGUGCGUGAUGACGGCUUUCUAGUUGUAAACCGCUUUCUCAUGUAACGAGGCGUGAGUGACGGUAAUUGGUAAAAAAGCACCGGCUAACUACGUG
RNAcentral lists this ribosomal RNA (468 nucleotides) under uncultured bacterium. RNAcentral's name for it is "partial 16S ribosomal RNA". It matches the Rfam family "Bacterial small subunit ribosomal RNA", at positions 28 to 507 of the family's 1533-position model. The record is from RNAcentral.